RNAcentral lists this unclassified non-coding RNA (572 nucleotides) under uncultured beta proteobacterium. RNAcentral's name for it is "16S-23S ribosomal RNA intergenic spacer". The stretch from base 61 to 134 matches the Rfam family "tRNA". Lineage: Bacteria; Pseudomonadati; Pseudomonadota; Betaproteobacteria. The record is from RNAcentral.
AGAGAAAAGCUGGAUCGAGAACUCACAACCUAUCGAUUGUCAAGAAACGGCACAGACGGCGGGUCUGUAGCUCAGUUGGUUAGAGCAUCGUCUUGAUAAGGCGGGGGUCGUUGGUUCGAUUCCAACCAGACCCACCAAGUCAAGAGACUAGAGACAAGAGACCAGAGAAGAUAUGGCGCGCCAAGGGUGCGCGAAAUUGAUUCUAGUUUCUAGUCUCUGGUCUCUAGUAUCUAGACGGGGGAUUAGCUCAGCUGGGAGAGCACCUGCUUUGCAAGCAGGGGGUCGACGGUUCGAUCCCGUCAUCCUCCACCAAGGUCUGGCGUCAUCAGAGAGCAGAACAAAGCAUUGUGGACAGUGUUGUGUUCUGACCGUUUGGUCCCGAAGUUUCACGCUCUUUAACAAAAUGGAAGAAGGUAAGUAGUGCGGGUUAAUCGCGGACUGCAAAACAGUGCAGAAGGCGUGGAGAGGCCCGUACUACGGUUGUGAUUGCAUCGAUUCGCUGCUAACCACGGCGGAUCGCACAAAUGAGUUGCCUGUAGCUUAGGGUCUCGCAAGAGAGCUUAAGGUUAUAG